UACGGAGGGUGCGAGCGUUGUCCGGAAUCACUGGGCGUAAAGGGCUCGUAGGCGGUCUGUCGCGUCGGGAGUGAAAACUCAGGGCUUAACCCUGAGCCUGCUUCCGAUACGGGCAGACUAGAGGUAUGCAGGGGAGAACGGAAUUCCUGGUGUAGCGGUGGAAUGCGCAGAUAUCAGGAGGAACACCGGUGGCGAAGGCGGUUCUCUGGGCAUUACCUGACGCUGAGGAGCGAAAGUGUGGGGAGCGAACAGG
This 253-nucleotide ribosomal RNA is filed under the name uncultured bacterium. Its description in RNAcentral is "partial 16S ribosomal RNA". It matches the Rfam family "Bacterial small subunit ribosomal RNA", at positions 524 to 776 of the family's 1533-position model. The record is from RNAcentral.